Cydia pomonella (codling moth) is the source of this 273-nucleotide long non-coding RNA. RefSeq lists it as uncharacterized. The transcript is spliced from 4 exons. Lineage: Eukaryota; Metazoa; Arthropoda; Insecta; Lepidoptera; Tortricidae. The record is from RefSeq and is a predicted model, not a curated record.
UAUUAAUGUUAUAUUAUAUUUUUUUUAGCUGGCUUUAGUGACGUCCUCGGAAUUAGUCAACCAAGUAAAACUGAAAGCUCCAUCGAGUAAAGUAAAACAGUUCCAGGGUGGAUACAAAUCGAAAAAGAAGCUGUGUGUAUUCUCUCCCGCAAAGGAGUACUGCGUGGAACAGCAGAAGGGACUCUAAAUAAAAAAAGGUCCGAUUGUUUAACGAUUUGUGCUAUUUUUCGUCAAUGUAAAAUGGUGUCAAUAAACAUUUUUUGGGCAAUAUUA